Molecule: transfer RNA, 68 nt
Filed under: Atkinsoniella flavipenna
Lineage: Eukaryota; Metazoa; Arthropoda; Insecta; Hemiptera; Cicadellidae
Description: tRNA-Arg
Source: RNAcentral
AGUAAAGAAGUAAAAAUAAAUACAUUUAGUUUCGACCUAAAAUAUAGGGAAUAAUAUACCCCUUACUU